GGGGUUUUUGAAAUGGAGCCUCGGAUGAACGGCGUAACCUUCUUCAACUGUCUCCCCUCCCACCCCUCUAAAUUCUUUUCUGAGUGAAGAAACCCAGAUAAGCCAGAAAGACGAGAAGACCCUGUCGAGCUUUAACCAUUAGGUGAACUUAAACCCCUUUUAGACAUCACCCAAAGGUUUUGGUUGGCGGCAACCAUGGAGAAAAUAAACCCUCCAGAGCAAAUAGAAGAAAGUAAUUCACUAUUACUCCUAACUGAGAACCAGGAACUGGUAUUCAGAAAAAGUUACCGCAGGGGUAACAGCGUAAUCCCCUCUAAGAGUCC
RNAcentral lists this ribosomal RNA (323 nucleotides) under Holothuroidea sp. H._cinerascens_8_SEC2. RNAcentral describes it as "partial large subunit ribosomal RNA". Lineage: Eukaryota; Metazoa; Echinodermata; Holothuroidea. The record is from RNAcentral.